This 499-nucleotide ribosomal RNA is filed under the name uncultured bacterium. RNAcentral's name for it is "partial 16S ribosomal RNA". It matches the Rfam family "Bacterial small subunit ribosomal RNA", at positions 28 to 507 of the family's 1533-position model. The record is from RNAcentral.
GAUGAACGCUGGCGGCGUGCCUAAUACAUGCAAGUCGAGCGAACAGACGAGAGUGCUUGCACUCUCUGACGUUAGCGGCGGACGGGUGAGUAACACGUGGGUAACCUACCUAUAAGACUGGGAUAACUUCGGGAAACCGGAGCUAAUACCGGAUAAUAUUUAGCUUCGCAUGAAGCAAUAGUGACAGACGGUUCUGCUGUCACUUAUAGAUGGACCCGCGGUGUAUUAGCUAGUUGGUGAGGUAACGGCUCACCAAGGCAACGAUACAUAGCCGACCUGAGAGGGUGAUCGGCCACACUGGGACUGAGACACGGACCAGACUCCUACGGGAGGCAGCAGUAGGGAAUCUUCCGCAAUGGACGAAAGUCUGACGGAGCAAUGCCGCGUGAGUGAAGAAGGUUUUCGGAUCGUAAAACUCUGUUGUAAGGGAAGAACAAGUACGUUAGUAACUGAACGUACCUUGACGGUACCUUACCAGAAAGCCACGGCUAACUACGUG